UGAGCGCUGGAAUCUGAGGGGCUCAGGUGUCUAAAAGCUCUCUCUCUGUGGUGUGGUAUAUGGUCCACACUGGUUACUGGCCUGCAGUAGCCACUCACUGAAUGAAGCUGUCAUCUUGGGGUUUAUUAGUUAUUUUCUUUUGGGAAGCAGACGUGCACUCUCGGACUAGAUCCGGUUAGUUAGAUCUGACACUCACGCAUAGCCGACGCAAAGAGGGUAGGGUGGGUCUGAGAUAGGGUUACUUACCUGUCUUCGACAUCUGUGAUCCACCGUUGGUGUCCAUCGCUGAUCUCACCAGUCCAGAUUCUGCAGCCUCGCCACCGGCAGUACCUGAAGGAGUUCAGAGUCGAAGCUCCUGGCCCGCUGGCAAGGACUGUACGAGGUGAUCCAGCGUGUGGGACAGGUCAACUAUGAAAUCAAGCAACUGGACAAGCUGCUGCCCUUGCGGCCUUCAGGGUCACCCCCUCCACACCCAUAGAACACCGGAGCCAGAGAAUGA
Long non-coding RNA from Chelonia mydas (Green sea turtle), 499 nucleotides. RefSeq lists it as uncharacterized. The transcript has 3 exons. The record is from RefSeq and is a predicted model, not a curated record. Lineage: Eukaryota; Metazoa; Chordata; Testudines; Cheloniidae.